RNAcentral lists this transfer RNA (73 nucleotides) under Ixodes scapularis (black-legged tick). It matches the Rfam family "tRNA". Rfam says of the family: Transfer RNA (tRNA) molecules are approximately 80 nucleotides in length. Their secondary structure includes four short double-helical elements and three loops (D, anti-codon, and T loops). Further hydrogen bonds mediate the characteristic L-shaped molecular structure. tRNAs have two regions of fundamental functional importance: the anti-codon, which is responsible for specific mRNA codon recognition, and the 3' end, to which the tRNAs corresponding amino acid is attached (by aminoacyl-tRNA synthetases). tRNAs cope with the degeneracy of the genetic code in two manners: having more than one tRNA (with a specific anti-codon) for a particular amino acid; and 'wobble' base-pairing, i.e. permitting non-standard base-pairing at the 3rd anti-codon position. Lineage: Eukaryota; Metazoa; Arthropoda; Arachnida; Ixodida; Ixodidae. The record is from Rfam by way of RNAcentral.
CCCUGGUUAGUUCAGUUGGUAGAGCGCUCAACCGGAAAUGGAGAGGUCCCGGGUUCGAUGCCCGCACCAGGCG